GGUCACUGCUAUUGGGAUUCGACUAAGCCAUGCGAGUCGAGAGGGUUCGGCCCUCGGCUGAUGGCUCAGUAACACGUGGAUAAUCUGCCCUUAGGUGGAGGAUACCCUCGGGAAACUGAGAAUAAUACUCCAUAGGUCUAGGAUGCUGGAAUGCAUCUAGACUGAAAACUCCGGUGCCUAAGGAUGAGUCUGCGGACUAUCAGGUUGUAGUCAGGGUAAAGACCUGACUAGCCUACGACGGAUAUGGGUUGUGAGAGCAAUAACCCAGAGAUGAUAUCUGAGACACGAUAUCAGGCCCUACGGGGCGCAGCAGGCGCGAAAACUUCACACUGUGCGAAAGCACGAUGAGGGAAUCCCAAGUGCCAGCUCGUAAGAGUUGGCUGUUUUUCUGUCUAAAACACAGAGAGAGUAAGAGCUGGGUAAGACGGGUGCCAGCCGCCGCGGUAAUACCUGCAGCUCGAGUGGUGACUGUUAUAUUGGGCCUAAAACGUCCGUAGCCGGUUUAGUAAAUGCCUGGGUAAAUCGUGUAGCUUAACUAUACGAAUUCCGGGUAGACUGUUAAACUUGAGACCGGGAGAAGUUAGAGGUACUCCUGGGGUAGAGGUGAAAUUCUGUAAUCCUAGGGGGACCACCGGUGGCGAAGGCGUCUGACUAGAACGGGUCUGACAGUGAGGGACGAAGCCCUGGGGCGCAAACCGGAUUAGAUACCCGGGUAGUCCAGGGUGUAAACGCUGCUUGCUUGAUGUUGGUUGGGCUCCGAGCCCAACCAGUGUCGGAGAGAAGUUGUUAAGCAAGCUGCCUGGGAAGUACGGUCGCAAGACUGAAACUUAAAGGAAUUGGCGGGGGAGCACCACAAGGGGUGAAGCCUGCGGUUCA
This 876-nucleotide ribosomal RNA is filed under the name uncultured euryarchaeote. RNAcentral's name for it is "bacterial SSU rRNA". It matches the Rfam family "Archaeal small subunit ribosomal RNA", at positions 21 to 904 of the family's 1478-position model. The record is from RNAcentral. Lineage: Archaea; Methanobacteriati; Methanobacteriota.